This 4128-nucleotide long non-coding RNA is filed under the name Lupinus angustifolius (narrow-leaved blue lupine). RNAcentral describes it as "long non-coding RNA (LANG_LNC002316)". Lineage: Eukaryota; Viridiplantae; Streptophyta; Magnoliopsida; Fabales; Fabaceae. The record is from RNAcentral.
AAUAAAGAAAAUGGGAGAAAUUCACAGUACCAAAAUUAUAAAAAUAUGUGUAGAAUUCGUCCUUUCUCCCAAUCCUCAUCAAUUUCCAUAAUCCCUUCUUCUCCCAACAAUUACAAUUCCCUUUACCCUUCUUCUCCUAACACUAGAUUUCAUAACCUUCUUCCCAAUUUGGUCAUUCUCCUCUCUUAUAACGACCCCACGAAGCUGAGAGAAUAAUUGCAAAGAAGAACCCCACGGUUUUAAGAACACCACACCUUGGAGAACGCCACGACUUUGGUAUGGUAACACAAAACCCAAUUUAUGAUUAAUUCUAUUGUUCUGUGUUAAUGACAUGUUGCUCUCUCUCCAUGCAUGCAUCUUCUAUUUAUGUAGUGUUGCUAUCUCUAUGCAUUCAUAUUCUGUUCAUCAUGUUAAGCAUGGUUUAUGUUCGGGGUGUUCAUAAUCAGUUGGGUCGGUUUUCAGGCAAAAAGUCAUCCAAACUAAAAAAAGUAAUAUGCGGUAUGAUUCUAUUUGAUUGAUAUACAUUACGAAAUCUGAUCCAAAAUUUAUCUGUGGAUUCGGUCUGAUUUGUUUUAGUUUUUUAAUAAAAAAAAUAACAAGUCUAACACACUUUUAAAGUGUCAAAUUCACAUAAAAAAAAUAUGUCUAUUUCAAAAUAAUAAAUUUAAUAUCUUCUCAAAGUGUCAAAUUCACAUAAAAAAUCAUUAAGUUACUCCAAGACUCCUAAUACCAAGUGUUAUACAUGCAAACAUUUAAUUGAAUAAUAUUUAUAUGAAUUAAAAAUAAGAAUGACAACAGAAAAAUAAAACACGAGGAAAGCAAGACAAGUAACAUACUAAAAUAAUUUUAACAAUUAAAAUUUUUAAUAAUAAUAAGUAAUAAUACUUUUAACAAAUAUAAAAUAUAAAAACAAUGUACAAUUUAAAUUAUCAAUUGUAAGAUUAAUUAGAUUCAGAAAUGAAACAAUCUUCAUUUUCGUGUAUAAGUAAAUAAUACUAAUUUGCUUCAUUCAAGGACAAAAGGUGAGUUGCACUAUUUGAGUUUGAGUGAAAGUUAGAAAAAUUGCUUAAUUUACUGGGAAUUGAACAAUUAUAAAAUAAGUUGUAGAACUCAUUUAAAGACAAUAAAUAUUUUGUACGGCUGAGAAUGCUCUAAUAGCACAAAUGUUUUGCAAAAUGUUAUGAUGUUUGGGUACACCAUGGGGAGUGGAUACAAAUUUCUUUGGAUAUUGGUGAUGACAUGAUAGAUAAAGAGGACUUAUGUGAGGAUAUUUCUACUUUAUUACGGAACAAGAAAUCUACCUAGAUGUGAAGACUUUUGUACUCUAUCAUUCACAUUGUUGUCGAUGAUAGAUGGUGCUUACCAAAAUUAAGCCAUUAUGGCGUUGUGGAUGGUGUUGCUGGCAAAUAGCGAAUAUCAUCAUGGUGGUUAACAAAAAUUAAGUAAAAACAUAGCAUAAUAGAAAAAUAAAAUAAUAAUACAUAAGACAACAACCAAACACUAAGAAUGUUUAAUAAAAGUUAUUAAGUAUCAAUAUCUCAUAACUUUAUAAGCUCACUAGAAAAUUAAAAUUAGGGAUACUAAAAAAUAAAAUGAACAAUACUAACAAGUCCUAUAAAGACCCACAACUAAAAUCAAAGCGAAACACAUAUAUUAAAGGUAAAAGAUUAAUUAUUCUAAAAGAUUAAAAAAACUGCAAUUCUAGACAAAAAAAGCAGUAAUUUUAGGGAAAAAAAGUAAACUGAAGUUCAUGGAAAAACUAUAGUUCAAAAUAAAAAAGUGGAAUGGAGAAAAAAGAAAUAUGUAUUGACGAACUAGUUUGACAAAUCUACAAAGAAUAAAAGUUUAAGAAAAAUAAUAUAAAAUAUUAGUUUAUAAAAAGUUAAUAGAAAAGGUCUAAUUUGCAAGUAGGGAUUGGCGACGACGACAGACGACAAUAUUAGACAACGACAAUGAUUAAGGUUUUAGAGAAACAACAUUAAGGAGAGAUUAUUCACGAAUAGAAACAUUUAGGGUUUUUAACCCAAAAUUGGGCCAAAAAAACUCAAUCUGGGUUGCUAUCUUUUUCAAAAAACCUACCUAGGAAAUCUCAUUUACAUUGUUUCCACCUUUGCUACCAUGGUGCCUCCACCGCCAUACUGCCAUGGCAGCAUGUAAAUGGCGGACAAAGCCAUUUAGUGGAAAUUUUCAAAUAGCUAAUGGCGAUUGGCUAGAAAUCACUACCGCCAUCCGCCAUAGCGACUAUUUAACAACACCGGCCAUUCAUGAUUUGAAUGUACUUGGUCCAAUGUAUUCAUGGGUGGAGCACUGCCUCAUUCACCACACUCUUAUAAUUUUUGAAAAAAGCAUGACCUGAUAUAAACAUUCUUGAAUUUAUUAACAAGACAAAGAUCAAGAUUAAGGAUUUAGGCUUUGACUAUAAAAAGUUCCAUGCAUGUCCAAAUGAUUGCAUGCUAUUCUAGAAAGAGCAUGAAAAGAAAAAUUCAUGGUGCAUUUAUGAAGUUUCAUAGAGGAGGAAAAUGCUCAAACUGAAGGGUGUGAGUCCAAGAAAUUGAAAGAUGAUAAUAGAGUUCCUGCAAAAAAUUUGAGGCAUUUUGUUAAAGUUGUUAUGAUUUUGUAUGUGAGUUAAUCGAUUAACAGUGUGGUUAAUCGAUUAACUUGUUGGUUAGUUAGUUAUUUUUGGUUAUGGUAGAUAGUUUUUUCCUUCAUUUUAUAUAAAAGAUUCAUUGUGACUUUCUGCUUUCAUCUAUUUAAUACUCAAUUCAAUAUUCAUUUAGUGAAUGAAAAUCAUAUCCUAUUUUUGCUCUUGAUUCUUAACAUGGUAUCAGAGCAAUAAUUAUUCUUUAUGAUGAUUUCUGCUUAUUCCCUUCAUCUUCCUCACUCUGUUGUUGUAAUCUUUCCAUCCCUUCCAAGAUUCGACAAAGAAUCAUCGUCAUGACCUAGUUCGUGUUCUCAUCACUGGUGCUGCAAGGCAAGUUAGCUAUGCUCUUGUCCCGAUGAUUGUUGCAUCUGCUUUCUUUUGUGCCUCUUCAAGGUCCUUCUCUUUCUGCUUGCAUAUUUUGUCAAUCUCAUGAGCCAUCUGCUCUGUUUCAUUGAGAAUUCUUUGAACUUUGGCUAUCCUCUCGUCAAAUAAUUAAAUUAGAGAAGGAGAAACAAAACGUUGAUGAAAACAAAAAUCAUCUUAAAAGGCAAAGUUUCAUGUUAUACAAGCAGAUAUAUACAUGUUCAAUAAGGAGGAGGCCAAACAAAUGGAAUUCUAGAAGUAUAUUAGAUUAUGCUACGAGUCAUUGCUCAAAGUGGGGCUUCUUUCUUGGUAGAAUGUCACCUGGAGUUGUGACAUUGUAGUUUACAAAAGGUGGAACCAUUUACAAUUACAAGUAUAAAAAAUUCUCGUAUCAAUCUUCUCUAUGAUCUUUCAAAGUAUCGUCUCUGCAGCUUUGAUGGUAGGAUAUUACCACGACCCUGUGAUGGAAAUCUAAGGUUAAUGUAAUCAAGUAUCAACUUCUUGCAAUGACUGAUUGACUUCUUGAAUUAACAAGUUGGCUUCUGGAAUUAACAAGUUAGGAACUAGCUCUUCUGUCUGUUGUUACCUUAAUGGGGAGACCACUUUGUCCUUUUGAUGUUUCAGAACCUCUAUCAUUUUCCUUUGUGUUGCUGAUACAUGCCUUGCUUACCCUCCUUAGUACUGUCGGUGCUUGGAAGAUGUGAAUCUGGUCAACACAAUAGCAACAAGGAACUCAAUGACCCUUACAUCAAUGAUUACUCAUUUGGCUUCAACAACGAUGAUGAACCUAAGAAGAACUAUAUAGAAGAUGGUAACAUGGAAGAUUAUUCACUUUGAGGUCGAUGUAGAAAUAAAGGUCAGCCAUGAAAUGUUUAUUUCCACAAGUUAACUAGUAAGACAUUCUUUCACCACUAAGUCAGCCAUGAAAUGUUUAUUUCCACAAGUUAACUAGUAAGACAUUCUUUCACCACUAGUUCCUUCACAAACCCUCCAAGUUUACCUCAAUAUAAUGAUGGCGAACAAUAAAUUCUCUAAUUUUUUUCCUUUCUCAUUAAACAUACAACAUUACUAUAGUGUAUAUUUUACAUCAAUGAAUCUAUAUAUUAGGAUCAAGACUCGACCCA